UCCGAGUUGACCCCGGCAGUCUCCCAUGAGUCCCCACCACUACGUGCUGGCAACAUGGAACGAGGGUUGCGCUCGUUGCGGGACUUAACCCAACAUCUCACGACACGAGCUGACGACAGCCAUGCACCACCUGCACACCAACCACAAGGGAAGCCCUAUCUCUAGGGAUGUCUGGCGCAUGUCAAGCCCAGGUAAGGUUCUGCGCGUUGCGUCGAAUUGAACCACAUGCUCCACCGCUUGUGCGGGCCCCCGUCAAUUCCUUUGAGUUUCAGUCUUGCGACCGUACUCCCCAGGCGGCGAACUUAACGCGUUAGCUUCGACACUGAGCUCCAAGUUGAGCCCAACGUCCAGUUCGCAUCGUUUAGGGCGUGGACUAC
Molecule: unclassified non-coding RNA, 377 nt
Filed under: uncultured bacterium
Lineage: Bacteria
Description: contains 16S-23S intergenic spacer region
Source: RNAcentral